Molecule: ribosomal RNA, 193 nt
Filed under: uncultured bacterium
Lineage: Bacteria
Also listed under: 1 other name
Description: partial 16S ribosomal RNA
Rfam family: Bacterial small subunit ribosomal RNA
Source: RNAcentral
CCUACGGGAGGCAGCAGUGGGGAAUAUUGGACAAUGGGCGAAAGCCUGAUCCAGCCAUGCCGCGUGUGUGAAGAAGGUCUUCGGAUUGUAAAGCACUUUAAGUUGGGAGGAAGGGCAGUUACCUAAUACGUGAUUGUUUUGACGUUACCGACAGAAUAAGCACCGGCUAACUCUGUGCCAGCAGCCGCGGUAA